This 73-nucleotide transfer RNA is filed under the name Amycolatopsis saalfeldensis. It matches the Rfam family "tRNA". From Rfam's summary of the family: Transfer RNA (tRNA) molecules are approximately 80 nucleotides in length. Their secondary structure includes four short double-helical elements and three loops (D, anti-codon, and T loops). Further hydrogen bonds mediate the characteristic L-shaped molecular structure. tRNAs have two regions of fundamental functional importance: the anti-codon, which is responsible for specific mRNA codon recognition, and the 3' end, to which the tRNAs corresponding amino acid is attached (by aminoacyl-tRNA synthetases). tRNAs cope with the degeneracy of the genetic code in two manners: having more than one tRNA (with a specific anti-codon) for a particular amino acid; and 'wobble' base-pairing, i.e. permitting non-standard base-pairing at the 3rd anti-codon position. Lineage: Bacteria; Bacillati; Actinomycetota; Actinomycetes; Pseudonocardiales; Pseudonocardiaceae. The record is from Rfam by way of RNAcentral.
GCCCCUGUAGCUCAGCGGACAGAGCCGCGGCCUCCUAAGCCGUCACGCGCAGGUUCGACUCCUGCUGGGGGCA